Molecule: transfer RNA, 58 nt
Filed under: Loxodonta africana (African savanna elephant)
Lineage: Eukaryota; Metazoa; Chordata; Mammalia; Proboscidea; Elephantidae
Rfam family: tRNA
About the family: Transfer RNA (tRNA) molecules are approximately 80 nucleotides in length. Their secondary structure includes four short double-helical elements and three loops (D, anti-codon, and T loops). Further hydrogen bonds mediate the characteristic L-shaped molecular structure. tRNAs have two regions of fundamental functional importance: the anti-codon, which is responsible for specific mRNA codon recognition, and the 3' end, to which the tRNAs corresponding amino acid is attached (by aminoacyl-tRNA synthetases). tRNAs cope with the degeneracy of the genetic code in two manners: having more than one tRNA (with a specific anti-codon) for a particular amino acid; and 'wobble' base-pairing, i.e. permitting non-standard base-pairing at the 3rd anti-codon position.
Source: Rfam by way of RNAcentral
UGAUGUAGUGGUUAAAAUGCUUGGCUGCUAACCAAAAGGUUGGUGGUUUGAACCCACC